This 115-nucleotide ribosomal RNA is filed under the name Lepisosteus oculatus (spotted gar). Lineage: Eukaryota; Metazoa; Chordata; Actinopteri; Semionotiformes; Lepisosteidae. The record is from RNAcentral.
GCCAGCAGCUAUAUCGCCUUGCAACAACUGGCAGCCCACUGAAACUCAGCAGGUGUGAGCCUGGUCAGUACCUGGAUGGGAGACCGCCUGGGAAAAACUAAGGCUGCUGCUGGAA